GUCUAUGGCCAUAGAGUUCUGAUCCAGUAAGUUAAGCAGGGCUGGGUCUGGAAAGUAUAUGGAUGGAAGACUGCCUGGGAAUACCCAGUGCUGUAAGCU
Cercocebus atys (sooty mangabey) is the source of this 99-nucleotide ribosomal RNA. The record is from Ensembl. Lineage: Eukaryota; Metazoa; Chordata; Mammalia; Primates; Cercopithecidae.